RNAcentral lists this unclassified non-coding RNA (358 nucleotides) under soil metagenome. RNAcentral describes it as "partial contains 5.8S ribosomal RNA, internal transcribed spacer 2, and large subunit ribosomal RNA". The stretch from base 1 to 120 matches the Rfam family "5.8S ribosomal RNA", at positions 35 to 154 of the family's 154-position model. The record is from RNAcentral.
GAUGAAGAACGCAGCGAAAUGCGAUAAGUAAUGUGAAUUGCAGAAUUCAGUGAAUCAUCGAAUCUUUGAACGCACAUUGCGCCCGUCAGUAUUCUGGCGGGCAUGCCUGUUCGAGCGUCAUUACGCCCCUCAAGUCCCCUGUGGACCUGGUGUUGGGGAUCGGCGAGGCUGGUUUUCCAGCACAGCCGUCCCUUAAAUUAAUUGGCGGUCUCGCCGUGGCCCUCCUCUGCGCAGUAGUAAAACACUCGCAACAGGAGCCCGGCGCGGUCCACUGCCGUAAAACCCCCCAACCUUUUAUAGUUGACCUCGAAUCAGGUAGGACUACCCGCUGAACUUAAGCAUAUCAAUAAGCGGAGGA